UACGUAGGGUGCAAGCGCUGUCCGGAAUUAUUGGGCGUAAAGAGCUCGUAGGCGGUCUGUCGCGUCGGCUGUGAAAACCCGGGGCUCAACCCCGGGCCUGCAGUCGAUACGGGCAGACUAGAGUGCGGUAGGGGAGACUGGAAUUCCUGGUGUAGCGGUGAAAUGCGCAGAUAUCAGGAGGAACACCGGUGGCGAAGGCGGGUCUCUGGGCAUUACCUGACGCUGAGGAGCGAAAGUGUGGGGAGCGAACAGG
This 253-nucleotide ribosomal RNA is filed under the name uncultured bacterium. RNAcentral's name for it is "partial 16S ribosomal RNA". It matches the Rfam family "Bacterial small subunit ribosomal RNA", at positions 524 to 776 of the family's 1533-position model. The record is from RNAcentral.